Mercurialis annua (annual mercury) is the source of this 559-nucleotide long non-coding RNA. RefSeq lists it as uncharacterized. The transcript has 4 exons. NCBI's taxonomy places the organism in Eukaryota, Viridiplantae, Streptophyta, Magnoliopsida, Malpighiales, Euphorbiaceae. The record is from RefSeq and is a predicted model, not a curated record.
ACUAAAAUCAGAGAAAGAAUUUGAACCAAAAACCUUCCUUUUUCCCUAUGUUUGCCGAACCAUUCAUCAUCAAGCUAGGGGUAUCAAUUCUCAACCAAAAUCCAUGGUUCUUGAGGCAAAUAAAUCAUAAAGCAAUGGUGAUCAAGGUAAGCUUAGGAAUUGGAAUAAACUAUGGAUAUGGAGCUUGAGUUGUUGAGUUUUGAUGAUGGAAACUUGGAGCAAGGAUUCGACCGAAUGGGUUAUUAAUCAAACUUAAGACCCGGCGAGACGAUUACUAACGGGACCCGGAACAUGAUGAAUGCGAUACCGCUUUACGAAUUCUCGAAGAUUGUGGUUAGCAAGUGUGUUUUAUUUCAGGUGAUAGUAUUUGAAGAGAUGGACUUCCAUUCUUGUUCCGGAAGUCUACAACAUAUAAAGUAUGUAUUGAAGUACGCUUCAAUUCGUAGCGCUGCAGUAGUCAGUAGAUGUCAGUCUAUAUUUGAUUAUUUGUACCGAACGAGAUCCAACUGUUAACUCUGAUUUUAUAAAAUAUAUAUACACGAUUUAUAAAACUAUAUUU